GACAUAAUGCAACUAGCACAAUCAAAUAAUCAUGAGGGAUAAGCUUCGUAGUCGAGAGGGCAACAGCCCAGACCAACAGCUAAGGCGCCUAAAUACAGUUAAGUGGAAAGGAUGUGACGUUGCAUAGACAGUGAGGAUGUUGGCUUAGAGGCAGCCACCAUUUAAACAGUGCGUAAUAGCUGACUCAUCGAGCGAUGUCGCGCCGAAAAUGAUUGGCGAUUAAACUGUAUGCCGAAGCUUUGGAUUGUUCUGAUUUAUCAGAACAGUGGUAGGAGAGCGUUCUGAACUGCGUAGAAGCCUAACUAAAAAGGACGGUGGAGUGUUCAGAAGUGAGAAUGCAGACAUGAGUAGCGAUAAACCAGAUGAGAAUUCUGGUCGCCGUAAACCUAAGGUUUCCUGGGGCAGGUUCGUCCUCCCAGGGUUAGUCGGGAGCUAAGGCGAGGCCGUAAGGCGUAGUCGAUGCACAGCAGGUUAAUAAUCCUGCACCGGCUUGGUUUAAGGUUGGAAAGGAAGCAAGGAGAAAAGUGACUAGGCAAUCGAAUGCUGAGCUUAGCCUUCGGGCGAAGCGUAUCACCAGACAACUUGUCUAGAAAAGUUUCCAACUGUUCCCCAGGUUGCCCGUACCGUAAACCGACACAGGUGGGUGAGUCGAAUAGACUAAGGCGCGCGAGAGAAACCUCUCUAAGGAACUCGGCACAUUAGCCCCGUAACUUCGGGAGAAGGGGUCCCUUUCUUUGGAAAGGGUUCAAUAAAUUGCGUUUAGCGACUGUUUAACAAAAACACAGCACUCUGCUAAGUCGUGAAGACGACGUAUAGGGUGUGACACGUGACCAAUGCGGAAGAUCAAGGCGUUUUGUCAGGGCCGUAAGGCUCGAAGCUCGGCGUCUAAGUCCCCGUGAAUGUCGGCCGUAACUAUAACGGUCCUAAGGUAGCGAAAUUCCUUGUCGGGUAAGUUCCGACCUGCACGAAUCGUGUAACGACUGAACGACUGUCUCGGAGAGGAUCUCGGCGAAAUUGUAACUGCGGUGAAGAUGCCGCAUGCCCGCAGUAGGACGGAAAGACCCUAUGCACCUUUACUGUAAGCUGGUAUUGUGUUCUGAUUAAUGAUGCGUAGCGUAGGUGGGAGACUUUGAAGUGAUGGCUUCGGCCAUCAUGGAGUCGCAAUGUGAAACACCACUCUUCGUUAAUUAGGAUUCUAACCUCUGUCUGUGAAGCCAGAAGAGGGACAGUGCCUGCAGGUCAGUUUGGCUGGGGCGGCUUCCUCCCAAAUUGUAACGGAGGAGCGCUAAGCUUGGCUCAGCAUGGUUUGCAACCAUGCGUCGAGCGUAUGGGUAGAAGCCAGGUUAACUGCGAGACCAACAAGUCGAGCAGAUGCGAAAGCAGGCCCAAAUGAUCCGAUGGUUUAAUGUGGAAUUGCCAUCGCUCAACGGACAAAAGGUACGCUAGGGAUAACAGGCUGAUC
Molecule: ribosomal RNA, 1462 nt
Filed under: metagenome
Description: bacterial LSU rRNA
Rfam family: Bacterial large subunit ribosomal RNA
Source: RNAcentral